Long non-coding RNA from Perognathus longimembris pacificus (Pacific pocket mouse), 391 nucleotides. RefSeq lists it as uncharacterized. Lineage: Eukaryota; Metazoa; Chordata; Mammalia; Rodentia; Heteromyidae. The record is from RefSeq and is a predicted model, not a curated record. The transcript has 3 exons.
CGUGAGCCAUACAAAUCUACUUUACUGAGCUAGAAAACACACAGGAAAUGUGUGAUCUCCGCCUCGCCUCUCUGUGAAUGCAGGCCAGCGCAUUCAUAAGUGAGGGCCUCUGUGUGUGCACACAGGCCGAGGGCACAGGGCGGUACUCAACACCUGUGAUCUCCCCCAGGAGCCUGGCGCUAGUGCAGUGAACUCUCUUACCAGAAACCACAGAGGCAGCGGCCUCACCUUGAGUUUAUUUGGCACCUACAGAGCACAUUUCACUUUAGAGAGCAUCAAGUUCAACUUUUAAAUCCUUUUCAACCCAGACACAAAAAGGACUUCACUGCCAGUCCCUCGGUAGUGAUUUACAUAGUAACAGGCCCAGUGGAGUGGGGUUUAAUGAAAGGCU